This 97-nucleotide ribosomal RNA is filed under the name uncultured bacterium. RNAcentral describes it as "partial 16S ribosomal RNA". It matches the Rfam family "Bacterial small subunit ribosomal RNA", at positions 1386 to 1482 of the family's 1533-position model. The record is from RNAcentral.
CACACCGCCCGUCACACCAUGGGAGUUUGUUGCACCAGAAGUAGCUAGCCUAACUGCAAAGAGGGCGGUUACCACGGUGUGGCCGAUGACUGGGGUG